CAUGUUGCCCGUUAACAUAGGGAACUAGUUAUUGUAAAGUUUCUCCGUAAGCUCACUUAGUGCUGUCUAUAUAACGAAGUCCAUUUAAUGUUCACAUGUUUAAUCGUAUAAAAGUACAUAUAUAUAUAUAUAAUAUAUUUGAAGGUUCACAAUUAUAACUUCCAAUACAAAACGUUACUAAAUUCCAGCUCUAUAAAACAACAUGUUACUUCAAGCUACUACUCCAAUAUAAC
Molecule: long non-coding RNA, 233 nt
Filed under: Mytilus galloprovincialis (Mediterranean mussel)
Lineage: Eukaryota; Metazoa; Mollusca; Bivalvia; Mytilida; Mytilidae
Source: RNAcentral